This 485-nucleotide ribosomal RNA is filed under the name uncultured bacterium. Its description in RNAcentral is "partial 16S ribosomal RNA". It matches the Rfam family "Bacterial small subunit ribosomal RNA", at positions 29 to 523 of the family's 1533-position model. The record is from RNAcentral.
AGUGAACGCUGGCGGCGUGCUUAACACAUGCAAGUCGAACGAGAACGGAAUAUAGCUUGCUAUAUUUGUCAGCUAAGUGGCGCACGGGUGAGUAAUGUAUAGAUAACCUGCCCUUAAGAAAGGAAUAACAGUUGGAAACGACUGCUAAUGCCCUAUAUGCCUUUAAUACAUAAGUAUGCAAGGGAAACGCUUUAGUGCUUAAGGAUGGGUCUGUAUGGUAUCAGCUUGUUGGUGAGGUAAUGGCUCACCAAGGCUAUGACGCCUAACUGGUUUGAGAGGGUGAUCAGUCACACUUGAACUGAGACACGGUCCAGACUCCUACGGGAGGCAGCAGUGGGGAAUAUUGCACAAUGGACGAAAGUCUGAUGCAGCAACGCCGCGUGGAGGAUGACACAUUUCGGUGCGUAAACUCCUUUUAUAUAGGAAGAUAAUGACGGUACUAUAUGAAUAAGCACCGGCUAACUCCGUGCCAGCCGCCGCGGUAA